Molecule: non-coding RNA, 82 nt
Organism: Mycena albidolilacea
Lineage: Eukaryota; Fungi; Basidiomycota; Agaricomycetes; Agaricales; Mycenaceae
Source: the annotation of a GenBank genome assembly
GGCCUUAUGGUCUAGUGGUAAUACAUUGUGCUUUUCUGUAUGCACUGUCAUAAUGUUCCUGGUUCAAAUCCGGUUGAGGGCA